Molecule: ribosomal RNA, 1411 nt
Filed under: uncultured bacterium
Lineage: Bacteria
Description: bacterial SSU rRNA
Rfam family: Bacterial small subunit ribosomal RNA
Source: RNAcentral
AGAGUUUGAUCCUGGCUCAGGAUGAACGCUAGCUACAGGCUUAACACAUGCAAGUCGAGGGGAAACGAUAUUGAAAGCUUGCUUUCUUUAGGCGUCGACCGGCGAAUGGGUGAGUAACGCGUAUCCAACCUGCCCCUGAGUAAGGGAUAGCCCAUCGAAAGAUGGAUUAAUACCUUAUGGUUUCCUUUGAAGGCAUCCGAUUAGGAAUAAAGAUUUAUCGCUGAGGGAUGGGGAUGCGUCUGAUUAGCUUGUUGGCGGGGUAACGGCCCACCAAGGCAACGAUCAGUAGGGGUUCUGAGAGGAAGGUCCCCCACAUUGGUACUGAGACACGGACCAAACUCCUACGGGAGGCAGCAGUGAGGAAUAUUGGUCAAUGGGCGCAAGCCUGAACCAGCCAAGUAGCGUGCAGGACGACUGCCCUAUGGGUUGUAAACUGCUUUUAUACGGGGAUAAAGUCAGAGUCGUGACUCUGUUUGCAGGUACCGUAUGAAUAAGGACCGGCUAAUUCCGUGCCAGCAGCCGCGGUAAUACAGAGGCCAAGAGCGUUGUUCGGAUUUACUGGGCGUAAAGGGCGCGUAGGCGGUCUUGCGUGUCAAGAGUGAAAUCUCCGGGCUCAACCCGGAAAGUGCGCUUGAAACUACAGGACUCGAGUCUGGGAGAGGGAAUCGAAAUAUAGGGAGUAGCGGUGAAAUGCUUUGAUAUCCUAUAGAACACAGGAGGCGAAGGCGGAUUCCUUGAACCAGCACGGUCGCUGAGGCGCGAAAGUCGGGGGAGCAAACAGGAUUAGAUACCUUGGUAGUCCCGACUUUAAACGGUGCUCACUCGGGGUGGGGCCAUGUCACCGGCCCCGUCCAUUAGCUAACGCGUUAAGUGUGCCGCCUGGGGAGUACGGCCGCAAGGCUAAAACUCAAAGAAAUUGACGGGGACCCGCACAAGCGGUGGAGCAUGUGGCUUAAUUCGAUGCAACGCGAAGAACCUUACCUGGACUUGACAUGCAGGUGGUAGGGAACUGAAAGGGGACCGACGGCGGCAACGCCGAGCCUGCACAGGUGCUGCAUGGCUGUCGUCAGCUCGUGCUGUGAGGUGUUGGGUUAAGUCCCGCAACGAGCGCAACCCCUGUCGCAUGUUGCCAGCAUUAAGUUGGGGACUCGUGCGAGACUGCCGGCGUCAAGCCGGAGGAAGGUGGGGACGACGUCAAGUCAUCAUGCCCCUUAUGCCCUGGGCUGCACACGUGCUACAAUGGCCGGUACAACGGGCUGCGACCUGGCGACAGGAAGCGAAUCCCUCAAAGCCGGCCCCAGUUCGGAUCGCAGGCUGCAACCCGCCUGCGUGAAGUCGGAGUUGCUAGUAAUCGCGGAUCAGCAUGCCGCGGUGAAUACGUUCCCGGGCCUUGUACACACCGCCCGUCAAG